Small nuclear RNA from Budorcas taxicolor (takin), 187 nucleotides. RefSeq annotates it as U2 spliceosomal RNA. Lineage: Eukaryota; Metazoa; Chordata; Mammalia; Artiodactyla; Bovidae. The transcript has a single exon. The record is from RefSeq and is a predicted model, not a curated record.
AUAGCUUCUCAACCUUUUGGCUAAGAUCAAGUGUAGCAUCUGUUCUUAUCAUUUUAAUAUCUGAUACAUCCUUUAUGUGAGGACAAUAUAUUAAAUGGAUUUUUGGAGAGUUGAUGAUGGACAGGGAAGCCUGGCAUCCUGCGGUCCAUGGGGUUGCAAAUAGUCGGACCCGACUGAGCCACUGAAC